UACGUAGGGGGCAAGCGUUGUCCGGAAUCAUUGGGCGUAAAGAGCGUGUAGGCGGCCCGGUAAGUCCGCUGUGAAAGUCCAGGGCUCAACCCUGGGAUGCCGGUGGAUACUGUCGGGCUCGAGUCCGGAAGAGGAGUGUGGAAUUCCUAGUGUAGAGGUGAAAUUCGUAGAUAUUAGGAAGAACACCAGUGGCGAAGGCGGCUCACUGGAUCGGUACUGACGCUGAGGUGCGAAAGCGUGGGGAGCAAACAGG
RNAcentral lists this ribosomal RNA (253 nucleotides) under uncultured bacterium. RNAcentral describes it as "partial 16S ribosomal RNA". It matches the Rfam family "Bacterial small subunit ribosomal RNA", at positions 524 to 776 of the family's 1533-position model. The record is from RNAcentral.